CCUACGGGGGGCAGCAGUGGGGAAUAUUGGACAAUGGGGGCAACCCUGAUCCAGCCAUGCCGCGUGUGUGAAGAAGGCCCUCGGGUUGUAAAGCACUUUCAGUGAGGAAGAACGCCUGGUGGUUAAUACCCAUCAGGAAAGACAUCACUCACAGAAGAAGCACCGGCUAACUCCGUGCCAGCAGCCGCGGUAAUACGGAGGGUGCGAGCGUUAAUCGGAAUUACUGGGCGUAAAGCGCGCGUAGGUGGCUUGAUAAGCCGGUUGUGAAAGCCCCGGGCUCAACCUGGGAACGGCAUCCGGAACUGUCAAGCUAGAGUGCAGUGGAGGAAGGUAGAAUUCCCGGUGUAGCGGUGAAAUGCGUAGAGAUCGGGAGGAAUACCAGUGGCGAAGGCGGCCUUCUGGACUGACACUGACACUGAGGUGCGAAAGCGUGGGUAGCAAACAGGAUUAGAUACCCCAGUAGUC
Molecule: ribosomal RNA, 465 nt
Filed under: Vreelandella stevensii
Lineage: Bacteria; Pseudomonadati; Pseudomonadota; Gammaproteobacteria; Oceanospirillales; Halomonadaceae
Description: partial 16S ribosomal RNA
Rfam family: Bacterial small subunit ribosomal RNA
Source: RNAcentral